GCAAAGUGGGGAUACCUCCACACCUGUAAUAGAUCAAGUGUUAACCAUGAUGCAUGAUUAUGCUUACCGUCAAGAAUACUUUCAGAAGUAAAAAUUUAUGUAGCCUAGGUGUUAUUGAGAGCAGCAGCUUGGCUUGGAUGACUUGAUACUACUUUGAGUGGUUUUAAACGAGACCCCAAAUUGUUUCAUUUUUCCCCUUCUCUGCGGAUACAGCUCAGGUAAAAUAAUGGGCUAUCCCUCAACUCCCUCCAUCACAAAGGAAAUGAAGAAUAUGAAAAAUUCAAGACAUUAAUGAAGGCAAAAACUUAGCUAGGUCUCUAGUAUCAUAAUAAGAGACUGCAGCAAGCUAGUUAGCGCCUUCAAUCCCUGCUUAAAGCAGGCCUAAAAUCCAGGCUUCUAAUGAUCCAUCUGGCUCCACAAUCUGCGUAGUCUAAAGUAACACCUAAUCUAAGUGGAAGGAAAAACAAAAAAGCAACACCUAUUCUCCCUCCAAUCUUUUCCUUGGCUUUAAUUUACCCCGUUAUAAAUGUGCACUCAGUUUUUUCUGUUUUAAUUAAUUUUUUUAAAAAAACUCUGAUAAAGCAUAUAAAAUAGAGCAUGAAGUUACCAGUAGCAUAUAAGGGCACUG
Molecule: unclassified non-coding RNA, 628 nt
Filed under: Hevea brasiliensis (rubber tree)
Lineage: Eukaryota; Viridiplantae; Streptophyta; Magnoliopsida; Malpighiales; Euphorbiaceae
Source: RNAcentral